UGAGGAAUAUUGGUCAAUGGGCGCAAGCCUGAACCAGCCAUCCCGCGUGUAGGAAGACGGCCCUAUGGGUUGUAAACUGCUUUUCCAGGGAGAGAAACUUGCGUACGCGUUGCGCAAUUGACGGUACCCUGGGAAUAAGCAUCGGCUAACUCCAUGCCAGCAGCCGCGGUAAUACGGAGGAUGCGAGCGUUAUCAGGAAUCAUUGGGUUUAAAGGGUGCGUAGGCGGACUAUUAAGGCAGUGGUGAAAUCCUGCAGCUUAACUGCAGAACUGGCAUUGAUACUGUUAGCCUUGAGUUUGGUUAAGGUAGGCUGAAUGUGUAAUGUAGCAGUGAAAUGCUUAGAUAUUACACAGAACACCAAUUGCGUAGUCAGCUUACUGAGCCGACACUGAUGCUGAGGCACGAAAGCGUGGGGAUCGAACAGGUCUAGAUCCCCCAGUAGUC
Molecule: ribosomal RNA, 444 nt
Filed under: uncultured prokaryote
Description: bacterial SSU rRNA
Rfam family: Bacterial small subunit ribosomal RNA
Source: RNAcentral